Molecule: long non-coding RNA, 1878 nt
Filed under: Panax ginseng (ginseng)
Lineage: Eukaryota; Viridiplantae; Streptophyta; Magnoliopsida; Apiales; Araliaceae
Description: long non-coding RNA (PGIN_LNC000347)
Source: RNAcentral
CAACAAUUGGUGUACCGGCUUUCUUACAUACAUACUGCCUAGAUCUGAUAUCAUUCGUAUUAGCAUGUUUAUGACUAGUUGCAAUUCUAAUCUCAAAUCCAUUUUUGCGAGCAUAUGAUCUAUAAAAAUAUUCAACCUCUUCCAACGUACAAAAUAAUUGACCAACGUACGGAACAAUAUCAGAUUUAUUACUUUCAACUUCACUGACAAAUUCAGAUGUAUUAUAUGACAUUUUGAAAAACUUACUUGUGAAUAAUAGUGAUGAAUUUUGCUCGAUCAGAACUUCAACUUGAUUUUCUGAAGUGAAAGUGGGCAACCAGAUGAAACAAAUUAUGAGUAGAGGUGAAAAGAGAAAAUAAUAUCAGAGAACAAAUUCGGGUUCAUGGAGAAGAAGAUAACUUGAGAAAAUAGCAGCUUCCUAGACAAUAUUUAAAAGGUAAAACUAAUGUACUUUUUCCAUAUAAUCAAUGUCAGCUUUUUUCUAUUCCCAUAGUGCUUUAUUAUUAUGUUUGACCACUUAUUCACCAAACAGUCUUUAUAAUAAUAAUAAUAAUAAUGGUAAUAAAAUAAUAAAAAGUAUAUAAGCCGCUACUAUAUGUAACGACUUUAUACUCAAUUUGUAAUAAUAAUAGAAUAAUAAUAAUAAUCGAGUAAUUAUAAUAAAAAAAUGAGAACAUAUAAUUUGGGGGGAAAUGGAAUGUUUUAAGAUAUAUUCAAAUCCAAGGUAAAAUAUGACAGCUAGGCCCGUGGUGCUCGGGUGGUCAUUUGACGAAUGUUUGGAGCUUGAGGUCGCGGGUUCGAUUCUGUCCAGCAGCUAUGUAAUUUAUUUAUUACAAGCCGGUAUAGCCUGUACCGGCCGAGCGUUUAUUUUAAUAAUUUAUUAUUACAGCUGGUAAAGCCUGUACUGGCCGAGCUACGCCACAUCACCUUGGGAAAGACCAAAUAUUAGCCUUUUGACUACUUUUUCAGACACAAUGCCUCGGGAAAGAACACCUGCAAGCUUGUAAACUAAAAAGCUGAGACCCACACCUGCAAGUUUGAAUUUGGUUCGAAAUUUAUGAGUUUGUACUGGCUUGCAUGAGCUUAUUUAACCAUCUAUAACCAUCUAUAGUGAUCUAUUGAGAACACACGUUGAAGAGAGGAUCAAGUUUCGGAAGAGAGGAGCAAAAAACUUCAACAAGUUGAAGUGGCUGGAUUCCAUUUAUUAGAUUCUAAAGACACCGAACUUCAACACGUAAGUUUUUAUUUAUUGUUAUUUGUUCAGUUUUUAAUAGUUUCUGUUGUUGUUAUUAUUUUCUUAUAAUAGUAAAAUAAUAUUAUUACAUUAUAUAAAUGAAAAAACUUAUUACAAUGUACUCAAUCAAGCCACAUUUUUUUAUCACUGCAUGUUAUUACUGAAUUAAAGGGGAUAUAAUACCAUGCAUGUAUUUGUUUUUGUUGUCAUUAAUGCAUGUUAUCACUGCAUAUUAUGCAUGCAUGUUAUUACUGGAAAUUUUUGUUGUCAUUAAUGCAUGAUCACUUUAUAUUUUAUUAAAGAAUGAUAUUUAUUUUUAAUAUAUUAAUUAGACUAAUUGGACAUAUUUUUACAAAAAUAAGAAAAAAUAUUAAAGGGGAUAAUGCAUGUUAUUGUUACAUGCAUGUUAUUAUUACAUGCAUGUUGUUAAGUUUUUAAUGCAUGUUAGUGUGUAUUGUUAUUACUGUCAUUUUGCAGCAUGUUACUUUCAACUUCAUUUUGUCAUGCAUCUUAAUACUAAUAUGGAAUUGAUGUAUUUUUUUAGGUAAAAGAUGGAUAGUUGGGAAUAUGGGCCAAUUGAUCCAAGUGUUCUGCAUGAUCAACAAGAUCAUGUAUCAGAUGACAUAUAUCAUGGGAGAGAUAGN